UACGAAGGGGGCUAGCGUUGCUCGGAAUCACUGGGCGUAAAGCGCACGUAGGCCGAUUGUUAAGUCAGGGGUGAAAUCCUGGAGCUCAACUCCAGAACUGCCCUUGAUACUGACGGUCUUGAGUUCGGGAGAGGUGAGUGGAACUGCGAGUGUAGAGGUGAAAUUCGUAGAUAUUCGCAAGAACACCAGUGGCGAAGGCGGCUCACUGGCCCG
RNAcentral lists this ribosomal RNA (213 nucleotides) under uncultured bacterium. Its description in RNAcentral is "partial 16S ribosomal RNA". It matches the Rfam family "Bacterial small subunit ribosomal RNA", at positions 524 to 736 of the family's 1533-position model. The record is from RNAcentral.